UUACGGCCAAAUCACGUUGAAACACCUGUUUCCGUACGAUCCCCGAAGUUAAGCAAAAUCGAACCUGGUCAGUAGCAAGGUGGUUGACCGCUUGGGGAUACCAG
Acanthosepion pharaonis is the source of this 104-nucleotide non-coding RNA. The record is from the annotation of a GenBank genome assembly. Lineage: Eukaryota; Metazoa; Mollusca; Cephalopoda; Sepiida; Sepiidae.